Molecule: unclassified non-coding RNA, 733 nt
Filed under: Hevea brasiliensis (rubber tree)
Lineage: Eukaryota; Viridiplantae; Streptophyta; Magnoliopsida; Malpighiales; Euphorbiaceae
Source: RNAcentral
GGAAGACAGAUUUGUGAAGCCACUUAUUUAUAGCUUCCACGUAUGCCUUCUGAGAGACGAUCCACUUUGUAAAACUUGAUGAUAGAGAACUCAAUUCAUGUUCAAGAUGGAUUGCAAUCUGCCGACGAGAAUCUGAUUGAAUAAGGAUCUUCAUAUUUCCAGGCGAAUGAGCUAUCGAUAUGAUAUGGAGCUGAAGCUUGUGGCAGUCGAACAUAACUUCCCACAUCUUCCUCAAUCCCUCAAUCAACUCCUCCAAUUGAGGCUGAAGUUCCUUGUCUCUUAUUUCUUCAAUUUUCCUAGAGAUGGAAUUAAUUCUAUGAAUUGCAACUCCAAUUCUCGAAUGAAGAUCCUUCACAACAGCACGCGUCUUGUCGAUCCUCUGAGGAGUCUCUACCUUAGAUUCUAGUUGUCGGAGAAGCUUACGCUUAGCAUCAUAAUCACUUCGGAUCAUCUCACUAGCCUUGACUUCGUCAUAUAGCUUUUUCUCCCAUGCAAACAGCCGAUCCAACGUAGAGGCAUGACUUCCUGAGACCAUACAAAAGUUAUCGAAGAGAUUGUUGGAAACAUCCUCAAUACCAUCUGUGGAGUUUACACCAUGCCGAUUUGGGGAUGAAGCAUGAGAUGAUGUGGUACGAUGCCAUGUCAGGAACUUCACAGAAUUUUGAGGAGGCUCUUCAGGAAUCUGGCUUGGAUCAUCCCCGCAAGAGAAACAAGACUUCAUUAAUACUCUGGU